RNAcentral lists this ribosomal RNA (468 nucleotides) under uncultured bacterium. RNAcentral describes it as "partial 16S ribosomal RNA". It matches the Rfam family "Bacterial small subunit ribosomal RNA", at positions 28 to 507 of the family's 1533-position model. The record is from RNAcentral.
GACGAACGCUGGCGGCGUGCUUAACACAUGCAAGUCGAACGGAAAGGCCCUGCUUUUGUGGGGUGCUCGAGUGGCGAACGGUUGAGUAACACGUGAGUAACCUGCCCUUGACUUUGGGAUAACUUCAGGAAACUGGGGCUAAUACCGGAUAGGAGCUCCUGCUGCAUGGUGGGGGUUGGAAAGUUUCGGCGGUUGGUGAUGGACUCGCGGCUUAUCAGCUUGUUGGUGGGGUAGUGGCUUACCAAGGCUUUGACGGGUAGCCGGCCUGAGAGGGUGACCGGCCACAUUGGGACUGAGAUACGGCCCAGACUCCUACGGGAGGCAGCAGUGGGGAAUAUUGAACAAUGGGCGGAAGCCUGAUGCAGCAACGCCGCGUGCGGGAUGACGGCCUUCGGGUUGUAAACCGCUUUCGCCUGUGACGAAGCGUGAGUGACGGUAAUGGGUAAAGAAGCACCGGCUAACUACGUG